UUCCUUUUUUGAGUUUUUUGCUAACUUUGGUGUGUUUUGUGUGUUUGUUGUAGGUGGAACAAGUAAAAAAAAAAAAAAAAAAACAUCAUCCCUGUUUCGAUCUUUCCUCCCCAACCCUGCAUCUUUCACCAUCGUCACCACACAAAUCACCGGCACAUCCCACCCACACCGGAAUCCUUUCCCGGCGCCUGUACACGCACCACCAUCCCCUCUGUUUUUCUCAGCCUCGCACCAUCCAGUGCCCAACCUCUUUUCCCCCGACGCUUCACCCAUCUCAGACGACACCACACCUACGCUUCACCACCAUCAAUCCGCUUCGCCUCUUACGGCUUAGCUUCUUGCCGCUGCUCUGCACCACCAUCAAAUCCGUCGCACAACAGCAGCCAAUCCCCCCUGAUUCUCUCUUCUCGUUUCUCUUUCUUUUCUUUUUAUUUUGUUUUUUCUGUUUUUUUUAUUCCUUUUUUUCUUUUGAAUUCCCUUUUUUUUUUGUUUUUUCUUUUUAAUUAGUCUUCCCACUCUCUUAACACUUCUUUGCAUUUUGAUUAAUGGUGUUAUAGGAUUUAUGCAAGUUAGCAACCAAAUAGUUCAAGUUGGUCUUCCAAGAGUAAUGCUAUGUGAUUGUAAAGCUUAUACGACUCUUCGUUGGGUUGUGGGUGACUUUGGUGUUGGAUGAUUGUUGGGGUUCAACUUUGUUCCUUCUCUAUUUUGGUUCUUGCAGUGAGGACACGGCAAAUUCUAGUUUGGGGGAGUAAUAUUCUAUCUUUUAUUGCUUUUUAGUGUAGACUUCAUUGCUUUUGUAGGAUGUUGCACGGUUUGUACUGCUUAUUAGGAGUGGGAGUUUACGUGUAACCAAAAAAAUUGUACUGCUUUCUUAGUUGCAUCAGCAUAUUUAUCUCAUAUUAGAUUUCAUCUCAUUAGUUGCAUCUAUGGGACUACUGCUAAGACUUUUUGAGAACCUUGUUGAUAUUUUACUACAUUUGUUAAGUGUCACUCAUCUUGUUCAUGAUACUUCAUAGCACGAUUGUUUCGCAACUGAUUGUUUGUGGUAAGAUUGAUUGAUCUCUCUCUGGCUCGAUUUAACAUUACUAUGCAGACACCUUAACCUAAGUGAGCUUUUGUGCCUAUAAACUGACGUAUCUAUGUCAGUAAUAUUUUUUCAUGUGUGAUUAGUUCCUCGUUGUUGCAUUGAUCUUGACUUUGACUUGGUACUCCUUAUAUUUGAUAGUGCAUACAUUUUGAUAUGAUUGAGGCGUUUCAUUUGAUGAUCUUAACUCCAGAGUUAUUUUUGUUUUCAUAUUAUCCUUCCUCUAGCCCCGCUGAGCCUUUUCUGACUUUGUUUGAUUAAUACCUACAUUACAAGCCAUUGGCCUCAUUUGAUUCUUGUCCCAAGCCUAGCUUGGGGGAGCGAGUAUUAGUUUUGGUUUGGUUUGUAUUGAAUUGAAGUGCUCUAUUUGUGGUUUAGAAGAAUGAAAAAUAUGUUUAGUGAGCUUGGAAAUUGAAAUGAAAGUCUGUAAAAAAAAAGGUGAAAAAUGAAAUGAAAAAGAAGUGAAAAAGAGUUGUGAAUAAAGUGAAAUAAAAAGGGUUAUGAUUGAAUUUCUUGAGUGAAAAA
This is a long non-coding RNA of Beta vulgaris subsp. vulgaris (sugar beet), 1609 nucleotides long. RefSeq lists it as uncharacterized. The record is from RefSeq and is a predicted model, not a curated record. NCBI's taxonomy places the organism in Eukaryota, Viridiplantae, Streptophyta, Magnoliopsida, Caryophyllales, Amaranthaceae. The transcript has 2 exons.